RNAcentral lists this small nuclear RNA (159 nucleotides) under Myotis davidii. Its description in RNAcentral is "U1 spliceosomal RNA". It matches the Rfam family "U1 spliceosomal RNA". Rfam says of the family: U1 is a small nuclear RNA (snRNA) component of the spliceosome (involved in pre-mRNA splicing). Its 5' end forms complementary base pairs with the 5' splice junction, thus defining the 5' donor site of an intron. The record is from Rfam by way of RNAcentral. Lineage: Eukaryota; Metazoa; Chordata; Mammalia; Chiroptera; Vespertilionidae.
ACACUUACCUGGCAGGGGAGGCACCACGGUCCUGAAAGUGGUUUUCCCAGGGCGAGGCGUAUCCAUUGCACUCUGGAUGUGCUGACCCCUGGGACUUGCCCAAUGUGGGAAAUUAUCUGCAUAAUUUGUGGUUGUGGGGGGCUUGCGUGCUCUCCCCUA